Molecule: ribosomal RNA, 440 nt
Filed under: uncultured bacterium
Lineage: Bacteria
Description: partial 16S ribosomal RNA
Rfam family: Bacterial small subunit ribosomal RNA
Source: RNAcentral
CCUACGUGUGGCAGCAGUGGGGGAUAUUGCACAAUGGGGGAAACCCUGAUGCAGCGACGCCGCGUGGGUGAAGAAGCACCUCGGCGCGUAAAGCCCUGUCAGCAGGGAAGAAAAUGACGGUACCUGAAUAAGAAGCCCCGGCUAACUACGUGCCAGCAGCCGCGGUAAUACGUAGGGGGCGAGCGUUAUCCGGAUUUACUGGGUGUAAAGGGGGCGCAGACGGCGAUGCAAGCCAGGAGUGAAAGCCCGGGGCCCAACCCCGGGACUGCUGUUGGAACUGCGUGGCUAGAGUGCAGGAGGGGUAGGCGGAAGUCCUGGUGUAGCGGUGAAAUGCGUAGAUAGCAGGAGGAACACCGGUGGCGAAGGCGGCCUGCUGGACUGCAACUGACGUUGAGGCUCGAAAGCGUGGGGAGCAAACAGGAUUAGAUACCCGUGUAGUC